UGAAUACGAGAUGCUACGGCGUCGAAGCAGUCUAUGUCAUACUUCCAAGAAAAGCUUGCACUGUCAUAAACAAAUAAUGCCUGUACCAUAACCGACACAGGUGGGUAGGUAGAGUAUACUAAGGGGCGCGAGAUAACUCUCUCUAAGGAACUCGGCAAAAUGACUCCGUAACUUCGGGAGAAGGAGUGCCUUAUUUAUAAGGUUGCAAUAACAAGAUCCAAGCAACUGUUUACCAAAAACACAGGUCUCCGCUAAGUCGUACGAUGUAUGGGGGCUGACGCCUGCCCAGUGCCAGAAGGUUAAAGAAGUUGGUUAGCAUCCGCGAAGCUGAUAACUGAAGCCCUGGUGAACGGCGGCCGUAACGAUAACGGUCCUAAGGUAGCGAAAUUCCUUGUCGGGUAAGUUCCGACCCGCACGAAAGGCGUAAUGAUUUGGAUACUGUCUCGGAGAGGGGCUCGGUGAAAUAGACUUGUCUGUGAAGAUGCGGACUACCUGCACCAGGACAGAAAGACCCUAUGAAGCUUUACUGUAACCUGAAAUUGAAAUUGGACUUUACUUGCGCAGUAUAGGUGGGAGGCGUUGAGAAUAUUCUUGCGGGAUUAUUGGAGCCAUCAGUGAGAUACCACUCUUGUAAUGUUAGAUUUCUAACUUUGUAUCAUUAUCUGGUCAAAGAACAGUUUCAGGCGGGCAGUUUGACUGGGGCGGUCGCCUCCUAAACGGUAACGGAGGCGCACAAAGGUUUCCUCUGAACGGGUAGAAAUCGUAUCUAGAGUGUAAAGGCAUAAGGAAGCUUGACUGUGAGACCUACAAGUCGAGCAGGGACGAAAGUCGGUCUUAGUGAUCUGACGGUGCUGAGUGGAAAGGCCGUCACUCAACGGAUAAAAGUUACUCUAGGAUAACAGGCUGAUCUCCCCCAAGAGUUCACAUCGACGGGGAGGUUUGGCACCUCGAUGUCGGCUCAUCGCAUCCUGGGGCGGUAGUACGUCCCAAGGGUUGGGCUGUUCGCCCAUGAAAGCGUACGCGAGCUGGGUUCAGAACGUCGUGAGACAGUUCGGUCCAUAUCCGGUGUAGGCGUUAGAAUAUUGAGAGGAGCCUUCUUUAGUACGAGAGGACCGAGAAGGACAUACCUCUGGUGUACCAGUUAUCGUGCCAACGGUAAACGCUGGGUAGCUAUGUGUGGAGUGGAUAACCGCUGAAAGCAUCUAAGUGGGAAGCCCACCUCAAGAUAAGUAUUCUCA
Molecule: ribosomal RNA, 1238 nt
Filed under: metagenome
Description: bacterial LSU rRNA
Rfam family: Bacterial large subunit ribosomal RNA
Source: RNAcentral